CCAGACUCCUACGGGAGGCAGCAGUGGGGGAUAUUGCACAAUGGGGGGAACCCUGAUGCAGCGACGCCGCGUGAGUGAAGAAGUAUCUCGGUAUGUAAAGCUCUAUCAGCAGGGAAGAAAGAAAUGACAGUACCUGACUAAGAAGCCCCGGCUAACUACGUGCCAGCAGCCGCGGUAAUACGUAGGGGGCAAGCGUUAUCCGGAAUUACUGGGUGUAAAGGGAGCGUAGACGGUGAAGUAAGUCUGGAGUGAAAGGCGGGGGCCCAACCCCCGGACUGCUCUGGAAACUAUUUGACUGGAGUGCAGGAGAGGUAAGCGGAAUUCCUAGUGUAGCGGUGAAAUGCGUAGAUAUUAGGAGGAACACCAGUGGCGAAGGCGGCUUACUGGACUGUAACUGACGUUGAGGCUCGAAAGCGUGGGGAGCAAACAGGAUUAGAUCCCCCAGUA
This 447-nucleotide ribosomal RNA is filed under the name uncultured bacterium. Its description in RNAcentral is "bacterial SSU rRNA". It matches the Rfam family "Bacterial small subunit ribosomal RNA", at positions 331 to 792 of the family's 1533-position model. The record is from RNAcentral.